AUCCAGAACAUCAGCCUACAACUGAGGAGGCAGUGUAAGAAGAUAAGCAGCCUUGGUAAGUAGGACCCGAAACACCUGCCAGAAUUGAUGAAUAUUUACCAUCGCAAUAUCUCAGAAAUUAGUGUGAAAGAUAGGAUGAAGAUACGAUUACGGGAACGAUGGUGGAAAGAUUCGGUUAUGGUGUCCCACUGCUGUCAGGACAACUAAAAGAAUUGAUAGGGAGCUUUGCUAAAUCCCAGAAAGUGUAUUUCCAUUUGCAGCAACAUAAUGAGGAUAAUAUAAUUAUGUAUACAUCCUUUAGAAUAAU
Long non-coding RNA from Carcharodon carcharias (great white shark), 307 nucleotides. RefSeq lists it as uncharacterized. NCBI's taxonomy places the organism in Eukaryota, Metazoa, Chordata, Chondrichthyes, Lamniformes, Lamnidae. The record is from RefSeq and is a predicted model, not a curated record. The transcript is spliced from 3 exons.